This 1353-nucleotide non-coding RNA is filed under the name Amphimedon queenslandica. RNAcentral describes it as "Eukaryotic large subunit ribosomal RNA". It matches the Rfam family "Eukaryotic large subunit ribosomal RNA", at positions 743 to 1972 of the family's 3401-position model. The record is from Rfam by way of RNAcentral. Lineage: Eukaryota; Metazoa; Porifera; Demospongiae; Haplosclerida; Niphatidae.
CGGGUGAGGGGGGCGCAGGACCGGCCCGUCGGGGGUUGUUACGGCCUCGGCGGAGCAAGAGCGCUCGCGUUGGGACCCGAAAGAUGGUGAACUAGGCCCGAGCGGGACGAAGCCGGGAGAAAUGCUGGUGGAGGUCCUAAGUGGUUCUGACGCGCAAAUCGAUCACGGAACUUGGGCGUAGGGGCGAAAGACUAAUCGAACCAUCUAGUAGCUGGUUCCCUCCGAAGUUUCCCCCAGGAUAGCUGGCGCUCGCCGAGACAGUUUCGUCCGGUAAAGCGAAUGAUUAGAGGAGUCCGUGCCGAAAUGGCGUGGAGCUAUUGUCAAACUUUGAACGGGCGAGAAGGGGUGCCUACCGCUCGAUCUGGGAGGCUCGGCCCCCGUCGAAAUGUACGAGUGCCAAGUGGGCCACUUUUGGUAAGCAGAACUGGCGCUGUGGGAUGAACCAAACGCCGGGUUAAGGCGCCCGAUCGUCACGCUCAGCAGAACCCACAAAAGGCGUCCAUCGGUAAAGACAGCAGGACGGUGACCAUGGAAGUCGGUAUCCGCCAAGGAGUGUGUAACAACUCACCUGCCGAAUUGGUGGGCCCUGAAAAUGGAUGGCGCUGUAGCGUGCAGCCUACACCCGGCCGUCUCGGCAAUUUUCUCCGGCCUGCCGGUAGAGACUGACCGAAGCCGAGACGAGUAGGAGGGUCGCCGCGGUCAGCGCUGAAGCCUUAGACGCGAGUCUGGGUGUAGCGGCCGCGGGUGCCGAUCUUGGUGGUAGUAGCAAAUAUUCGAGCGAGAACCUCGAAGGCCGAAGUGGAGAAGGGUUCCGCGUUGCUCCUUCGAUCGGCCGCGGGUUAGUCGGUCCUAAGGCCUGGGAGAAAUCCUACGGGAAGCGGGACGUUUUUGAAAAUCAUUAAAAAUCAGUCUCACCCAAUGCACGGGCCGAAAGGGAAACGGGUUAGGAUUCCCGUACCCGAAGGCGGAGCACAAGCGGCGACGCAAAGAAGGUCGGAUACACCGUCGGGAGAGUCGAGAAGAGUUAACUUUUCUUUUUGAGGUGCGCUCGCUGACCCUGGAAGCGGUUCUGCCGGAGAUAGGGAGCGAGAGCAAUCAACUUUAUCCGCAAAGCCGGCUCCAGCGGGGGCCUGUUCGGCUACGACUCGACGGUCCUUGAAACUCCGACGGCUAAACUCUUUCUUUUUUUAUUUUGAAAUAAUGUGUUCGCUCUCGCCUCGGGCCGUACCUCAAUCCGCCGCAGGUCUCCAAGGUUCGCAGCCUCUGGUCGAUAGAACAAUGUAGGUAAGGGAAGUCGGCAAAAUGGAUCCGUAACUUCGGGAGAAGGAUUGGCUCUGAGGGCCGAGCGACCCG